CCUACGGGUGGCUGCAGUGGGGAAUAUUGGACAAUGGGGGGAACCCUGAUCCAGCCAUGCCGCGUGUGUGAAGAAGGCCCUCGGGUUGUAAAGCACUUUCAGUGAGGAAGAACGCCUGGUGGUUAAUACCCAUCAGGAAAGACAUCACUCACAGAAGAAGCACCGGCUAACUCCGUGCCAGCAGCCGCGGUAAUACGGAGGGUGCGAGCGUUAAUCGGAAUUACUGGGCGUAAAGCGCGCGUAGGUGACUUGAUAAGCCGGUUGUGAAAGCCCCGGGCUCAACCUGGGAACGGCAUCCGGAACUGUCAAGCUAGAGUGCAGGAGAGGAAGGUAGAAUUCCCGGUGUAGCGGUGAAAUGCGUAGAGAUCGGGAGGAAUACCAGUGGCGAAGGCGGCCUUCUGGACUGACACUGACACUGAGGUGCGAAAGCGUGGGUAGCAAACAGGAUUAAUACCCUGGUAGUC
RNAcentral lists this ribosomal RNA (464 nucleotides) under Vreelandella stevensii. RNAcentral's name for it is "partial 16S ribosomal RNA". It matches the Rfam family "Bacterial small subunit ribosomal RNA", at positions 338 to 795 of the family's 1533-position model. Lineage: Bacteria; Pseudomonadati; Pseudomonadota; Gammaproteobacteria; Oceanospirillales; Halomonadaceae. The record is from RNAcentral.